UAAUACGAACUGUGCGAACGUUAUUCGGAAUCACUGGGCUUAAAGGGUGCGUAGGCGGCUGCCUAAGUCAGGUGUGAAAUCUCUCGGCUCAACCGGGAAACUGCGCUUGAUACUGGGCGGCUCGAGUGAGGUAGGGGUGUGUGGAACUUCCGGUGGAGCGGUGAAAUGUGUAGAUAUCGGAAGGAACGCCAGCAGCGAAAGCGGCACACUGGGCCUUUUCUGACGCUGAGGCACGAAAGCCAGGGGAGCGAACGGGAUUAGAUACCCCGGUAGUCCUGGCCGUAAACACUGAACACUCGAGGAGGGGGGCUUCGGCCUUCUUUCUCUUAGCGAAAGCGUUAAGUGUUCCGCCUGGGGAGUAUGGUCGCAAGGCUG
RNAcentral lists this ribosomal RNA (375 nucleotides) under uncultured bacterium. RNAcentral describes it as "bacterial SSU rRNA". It matches the Rfam family "Bacterial small subunit ribosomal RNA", at positions 521 to 896 of the family's 1533-position model. The record is from RNAcentral.